UACGGGGGGUGCGAGCGUUGUCCGGAAUCACUGGGCGUAAAGGGCGCGUAGGUGGCGUGAUAAGGGUGUGGUGAAAGCCCGGGGCUCAACCCCGGGUCUGCCAUGCCGACUGUCAGGCUAGAGUACUGUAGGGGCAGGCGGAAUUCCGGGUGUAGCGGUGGAAUGCGUAGAGAUCCGGAGGAAGACCGGUGGCGAAGGCGGCCUGCUGGGCAGUUACUGACACUGAGGCGCGACAGCGCGGGGAGCAAACAGG
Molecule: ribosomal RNA, 253 nt
Filed under: uncultured bacterium
Lineage: Bacteria
Description: partial 16S ribosomal RNA
Rfam family: Bacterial small subunit ribosomal RNA
Source: RNAcentral